GCUGAGGAAAGGUCUGUACUCAGUGAAGGUGAAAAAAGCCCUCAGCUGCGUGCGGAUGGAAGUAAGGCACCUUGAUCAGCAUCAAUGAAAAAAGGAGAUAAGGAAUUGUUCCUCGGGCAGCGCUGCUAUGUUCUGGGUCAUUGGUUCAGAAACUUCAGUGUGCAUCAGAAUCCUCUGGAUAUGCCAUUUUCAUGACCUUGAGGGCCAGAGAGGGGAUGGAAACAAGUGAUAUCCGCCAAAUCUUCUCAGAGAUGAAGUCUUUUUAUGCAGUCCAUGUUGGAGUGCAGUGGCUAUUCACUGGUGUGAUCAUCACAGACUUGAACUCUUGGGCUCAAGUGAGUUUCCCUUCUUAGCUGCUGGGACUACAGGUGUGUGCCCUAGUGACUGGCUUGCUCUUUUUAUGUACUGCUAAAUUUGGUUCACUAAAAGUUUUUAAAGAAUCGUUUUUUUAACUUCUAUUUUUAUGAAGCAUAUUAGUGUAGUGUCUUUUGUGAUAUCUUUACCUAAUUUUGGUGCCAGGACAAUGCUGUCUCACAAAGUGAGUUGACAAGGAGUCCCUUGUCUUCUAUUUUUUGGAAAAGUUUGUAUAAUGUUGACUUUUUUUCAUCCUUCAAUAUUUGAUAGAGUUUGCCAAUGAAACCAUCUAAGUCUGGGAGCUUUUUGGUGAAAGGUUUUGCAACAUGAAUUACAUUUCUUUAAUAGAUAUAAGACUCUUCAGAUUAUCUAUCUUUUUAUUGGCAAACUUAGAAUAGUUUAUAUUUUUCAAGGAACUUUUCUAUUACUCUUUAAGAAAUGAAAUGGAUCAACAUAAAGUUGCUUAUGAUAUCCCUUUAUUAGCUUUUCAAUAUUUGUAGGAUCUAGUGAUCUCCCUUCUUUCAUUUUUGAUACAGAUCAUCUAAACAUUUUUCAUUUUGUUGAUCAUUUCAUCUAGAGUUUAUCAAUUUUAUUGAGCUUGUUGGAAAACUAGCUUUUGGUUUUAUUGAUUUUUUUUCCUAUUGCCUUUCAGUUUUACUUUACUAUUUCUUCCCUUGCAUUUUCUUUGGGUUAAAUUUGCUCUUCUUUUUCCAGUUCCUUAGAGUGGAAGUGAAAAUAAUUUCAUUUCUUUUUCCACACAUAAAAGUUUAAUGCUAUAAAUUUUACACUAAGUUUUGCUUUGUUUGCACCCCGGAGUGUUUCAUGUGCUCUGUUUUUUAUUUCAUUUAAUUUGAACUGUUUUCUAAUUUCUCUUAUGUUUUCUUUGACCUAAGGAUUGUUCAGAUUUGUAUUUUUCAGUCACUGGAUUACUCACCCAAGGUCUCCCGCAGGAUCCUUGCUCUGUGACCCUGAGUGCAGAGCUUGCCGGGGCAGUUCUCCCACAAUGGCUCCAUGUGGUCCACAACCCAAUAGUAUUAGCUCUGUCGGGCUCAGUGGCGCAGUCCCGGGCCUUAGACAAGGCUUAAAGUCCUCUGUACUCUCUCUCAAGCUCUCCCAAGGUAGUUCAACUGAGUGCCAAGUCCAAAAAGGACUCACAGGUAAGGCCUUUCCAGUUUGCAAGCUCAUUGCUGCUGUAUUUAUAGUUGCGGGCAGUAUUAGGCCAAAGGAACACACUCAACCACUUGCCAGUUCUCCACUGCUUUUGUCCUCCUCAUGGGAUCCAGAAGUCUCUCACUGACUCCCUGUAUCCUCAAAGGGAUGUUUCUGGGCAGAUCCUACCAGCCAGCCAGAGAUUCCUGAAGACUUCUCUCUCCAGUCUCACUGUGCCCAGUUGCAAGGAAGCUGUUACUCGGCCGCCAUCUUGCUCCUCCUCCAGAUUUGUAUUUUUAGAAGUUUACUUACUUAGGUGUUUAUAAAGGUCUUUCUGUUAUUGACUCCUAGUUUUAUGUUAUUGUGUCAGAGGAUAGACUGAACAAUUUUAAUCUUUUGAAAUAUAUUGAGAAUUAUAUUUUAGUUCAGAAUAUAGUCUAUUUUGGUGAAUGUUUCACGAGCAUUUGAAAACAAUGUAUAAUUGCUAUUGUGGGUUGGAGAGUUCUAAAAUCUCGAUUUGGUCAAUUUGGCAGACAGCAUUGUUUAAGUCUUUCUAUAGUUUCAUUCAUUUCCUGUUUCCUUAUCCUGUGAGUUACUAAUAGACUAGUAUUGUAAUUGCCAGGUGUAAUUGUUGGUUAAGAUAAUUUUAGUUUUAUUGGUUUUUACUUCAUUUAUUUUGAUGUGCCUUAUUGGAUGUCAUCAGAUCUGUAUGAAUUCAAGAUUUUUAUCUUUAGAUUAACAGACCCUGAUAUCAUUAUAAAAUACCCUCUUUAUGCAUAUCUUGCUUUUAAUUGUUUUUUCCAUGGUCUUAUUUUUAUUUUUAUCUAUUUACUUUUAAUAUCUCUCUCUCUCUCUCUCCAAGAUUUCUCUCUAUUGCCCUCAGAUACUGCUGGAGUCCAGAAGUACCAACACAAAUCACUAUAACUUCAAACUCCUCUGCUUAAGUGAUCCCCACACGGCAGCUUCCAGAGAAGUUAGGAUUAUAGGAAAAUUUCCCCACAUCUGGCUAAUUUUUAAGUGUUUUUAUAGAGAUGGGAUCUCACUAUGUUGCCCAGGCUGGUCUUGAACUACUGGACUCAAGUGAUUCUCUUUCCUCAGUUUCCCAAAGCACUGGGAUUGCAGGUGUGAACAACUGUGCCUGGCUUGAGUUUCUUUCUGAUAUUGUAUUAAAAACUUUGUAUUUUCCAAAUAGAACAAUCUGCCUUCUGAUAGGAAUAUUAGGUCAUUUACAUUUACAUUGUUGAUAUGAUCAGGUUGUAUUAUGAAAUUGUCCUACUUUUGCUAGUGUGCAUGCAAGUGCCUUCCACUUCUGGGUGAAGUCCAGGAACUGUUCUGCCAGCUUCCUUCUGGUGUUUUACCCCCAGCCUCAUGGAGUUGCCCUCUAUGCAUUCACAGACCAGCCAAAGAUUUGAUUAGAGUUUUCUGUAGAUGUUCUGGCUGACCCUUCUCCCUCUCCCCACAUCUCAGUCCCCUUAAUUUCUUUUACUCUGGUAUUCUGCUUCACAGAUUCUAGCUGACAUUGUCUCCUAAACUCUGAUCUACGUCUGUUCACCCAGUAAGAAUGCUGGAUUCUGUGUGUGAUUUCCUCUUUGCCCUGUGGACUGGAAACUGCCUGUAAGCUGUGAAUGAAUAUGCCUGUGGAAUGCAUCUGAUUUGCCUCCCUUUUCUCAGUGACCAUAGUCCUGUACUGGUUGUUGUCUGAUGCCUACAGGAAGUCAUUUUAUAGUCUGGGUUUCUAGUUGUUUUUGGUAGAAUGGAAAUUACUGUAACAGCUUUCUGUAUGAAGUAUGUCUUUUUAUUCUCAUGCUUUCACAUCUGGAGACUUGCUGAUGCUGAAGGGACUAUCUCUUCCAGAGCUAGCCAAUUCCUAGAGAUGAAAAAACAAAACACCAGCCAGGCACAGUUGUUCACACCUAAGAGCAUCCCUUUCAUAUGCAAACCCACUGAUCCAGAGCCCAUAUCCAAAAGACCUCUUUCACGGAGCCCUUAUACUAGGCCAGUAUUUGCUCUAAUUACUCCAGGACCAGGCACUGGAAAACUAGAGAUAGUCCCUAUACCACAUAGCCCAAUAAAAUUCCUCAAGCUGACCAGUCCUGAACUGGGUUACUCUGACAUAUUUUCUUUCCAUUCCUGUCUUCUCACCAACCCUGGUGCUUCCUCCUGUAACCCCUUGUAUGGCACUUGCCUACUGCUCUUGGGAAUUGUAACAUACUACAGCUAUCUUUUUAACAACAAUCCUCUUCUUAUUUCUUGGCCUCCUUAUACUUGAAUAAUAAUAAAACCUACAUUUUCAAAUACUUUCAUGCUUACAAGCAGAAGUUUGGUACAUUUUUCCUUAAAUAAAAUAAUGUCUUUAAGCAUCUGGUACAUAACAAUCAUUGGACAAACACACAUCCCUUGACUUGAUCUCAGUAUUUUAGCAUUUUGUCUAGACAAUAUAUUCAGUUUGCUUUCCUUCCUUCUUUCCUUCCUUCCUUCCUUCCUUCCUUCCUUCCUUCCUUCCUCCCUCCGUCCCUCCCUCCCCCCUUCUCCUCCUCCUUCACUUCUUCCUCCUUCUUCUUCCUUCUCCUCUCUCUCCUCUCUCUCUCUUUCUCUCUCCCUCCCUCCUGCCUUCCCUCUUCUCUUUCAUCUUUCUUUUUUUUCAGAGACAGAGUCUUGGUCUGUUGCCCAGACCAGAGUCCAGUGGUACCACAGCUCAGUGCAACUUCAAAUUCCUAGACUGAAGUGAUCCUCCCAUCUUGGCCUCCCCAAAUGCUGAGAUUACACCAAUGAUCCACUGCCUCCCAGCCAAAUUUCAUUUUUGUUUUUAAUUUAAUGUUUCAACUCCUCAUCUGCCACCACCACUGCUCCUAUCAUACUCAACUUGAAAUCUUCAUCUUGCUAUUCAAAUUUUGGGUUUUACUCCUUUGAAAUCUUCUUUUGUAUUUAAAUCCAUCCCACUAGUCUAUGAAAUAUUGAAAUGGGAACAGGGUUACUGGUUAAGCAUUUAAACUUUUUCUUUUCUUUUUGCAAAAUUUGUACAAUACUUCUUUCCAAUCUCUUCAUGGAACUUUCAGCUGAUAUCAACUUUUUCUUAUUUCUUUCCUAUUUCAUUCCCUCAAUGGACAGUAGAAAUUUCCUCCAAUUUUUAGCUUUACUAUAUUUAAUGAAGAUGUCAAACUUCUGAAUAGCAUUUCCUUUCAGACUUUGGGGGUGGUGUAUACAUUUAAAUAUCUGAUAAUUUCCCAUCCUGAAUUUCUCCUAGACUGACUUCCUAUAUAUUCUAUAUCUUUCAAAAAUGUAAUGAUAAAUGUAUAAGGACAAAUGUUAAAAUUGAUGUGAUACCUUAAUCUUUAUUUUGUUUUACUUGGUUAUUAUAAGGAAAGUUUGAAUUUAGCAUAUUACUCUUUAGACAUCCAACCAACCUAACAACUGAGGUGUUCUUCUCUCAUUACUUGGGUAAUCUGUAAUAAAAUCUAGAAUUUACAGUAAUUUUUAAGAUGCUAAAAAUAGUAUUAAACUAACUAAGUUAAUUUGACAUGAAAGUAAAUGCCAGCUCUGAGGAUGACAAUUCCAUCAGUCAGAGCCGCCACACUGGUCAAUUUUGACUAGAUUUGUACAGAUUGCAUGCCUUUCCAUGUAGAGUCAAAGAAAUUUAGGGUACAUACAACCAAAAAAAUAUUUUUGUAUUGAAAUUUUACACAUAUUUCUUACUGGUUCUUAACUGAAGGGCUCAAUUUAUUUGGCAAAUCCCUAUUCACUAAUUUGUGGUAGCAGAAUGGUUCUGAUUGACAGGCACAAGAUUGCAAAGUAGAAACUAGGACACGGGUAGUUUUCUUAGUUUUUCUUCAGUGAAGAGAUUCUACAGUACGAAUGACAGAUAUUUGGAUCUUUAGGGAAUAAUGAAGGAAGCUGAAAGAUAUCAUUAUCACAGAAUGGAUUUUGUGUCAUUUUUGGUUCUCACUACCAAGGAAAAUGUGAAAAUGCGGUUUGCUAACUUUAGUACUUCAUAGCCUAAGACAGUCUAUGCUUUAAGCCCCAGAGAAUUUUCUUUUUGUACAAUUUCACAGAUUCUGAAGCCUAAGUGAUCAUUAGGGGAAAACUACAGUUUUAUUUCUCUGCCCUAUUAUACCAAAUUCUUAGGGAAAAUGCCACUGACACACACUGUGACAAGUCCCUGAGUCCAGAACACAAUUUAAAUUUUAUAAAAUCAAUUUUAUGUUGUAGCUGUUGAUAUAUCUUGACAAUCUUUGAUUGAUAUGUCAUUUUUUAAAUCCACGUUGCCUAAAAAUCAGCCUGCUUUAAAAUUGAUAGCUAUAUCUCCAUCACUUUUAUGUGGUAUGAGUGAAUUUGAAAAAGAAGGUGUUUCUUUUUUUUUAGUCAGCACAUGACUGUCUUUCCUAGAAACAGUGGUGGGACCAUAAAAUGCUUUUUCCUUCAGGGAUAUAUAAAACCCUUCCCAUGCCCACAUGUCUCAAUUGCAUGCUAUUCACUACACAUGUGAAGUAACCUUUGGGUAUUUUGUUAAAGGAUAGAUUCCAGGAAAAAUAAAGUUUACAUUCUGUUUUUAGAAUCCAGAGGGUCUACAUCAGUGAUGAGCAACGUAAGAUCCACCUAACAAAUUUUAAUUGCAACCUUUACCCUCACACAAGGCAUCUCCAUUCAGAAAAAUAUAAUAACAACCUGCAGAAAUUGAUUUUGGGAUUUUUUUUGUCCAAAGUCUGUGGGUUGGACAGGAUCAUCAUGUGAACGAAUCAACCCCCCGCCAAGUCCUAUUUUAGUUUGAGGAUUCAAAUCAAGCACAGAGCAAAACAUUUGGGGACUCUGUAUCUAUAUAGGAAUGAUGUGACCCUUCAUGAUGGCUUGGGUUUAGAACUGCUUUCUCCCAGCAUGGCAAAGCCAAGAGAAAUCCUACAGACACAAGAGGAAACUCAAGAAGGGGAAAACCCAGGGUACACAUUUAUCUUUGUGCCUUUUACAGUGUCUGGCACAGAGUAAGUAUUCAGUUGUGUCAAAUGGAAUGAACUAAUUCAACCCACCUCUGCUGUUACUGGCAUUACACCAAGUUUAGAUAACCCACUUUAGCAUAUGUAAAAUGGAAAUGACAAUACUUCUUACCUUCAAGGGAUAUUUUGAGGCAUUAAUGAUACAAUGCAUUUGUAAGACUGUAUCUUUCCUAUGAGACUCAAUUAGAAUACAUUUAUGUUACAAAAAAAGUAUUUGAGCUUGAAAAUUUAAUUUUUCCUGAAUUUGGCUAUUAUAUAAAGAAAAUUUUGAAGUACUGAUGAUCUAAUUUCCAGAAAGUGCCAUCCCUAAGGAUGUUCCCUUGUAUUACCCUUUAUUUUUUUUACAUAGUUGAGUUUACGUAGGUAGGCUCAUUUGCGCACCCAGUAACCUUGUGACAUAAAGCUGAGGUGUCUUCAUUUCCAAAAGAUACAGUGACUAAGUGAUCUGUUUUUUAGAUUGCCCUGAGAAAGAAAUGGUUACAGGCUGUGAACUUGUCAGAUCUCUUAAGCCCCUUUGCUUUGGCAGCUACCUUGUAUCUAGGAGAGGAUGACCCUCAUGGGAGUAGAAAAAGAAUAGUGGUUUUUAGAGUUGCUCAUAGCUGAAAAUAUCCCUGCUCUCCAAGUGUGACAGACCAGAGGCAUGUUUUUGAGCAGCCAGGAGCAAGCCCAGAGCUCACCCUUAGUGAUACUUAGUAUUUGUCAUCUUUGAGGCACAUCUCACAUCUCUGUCUGAUCUAGCCUCCUUUCUGUACCUGGAGUGUAGUAUUUCUACAACUCAUACCUGGAUUGGUGCCCACCUCCUUCCCCAUCCUACCUCCCCCAAGACUUAAAGUUUCUCACUUUCCUGUUGUCCUCAUAAUGUUCAAAAUUUUUGGCUUAGUAAAAAUCACUUUUUCUAACAAUUACCCUAUCCACAACCCAGUAUACACAACCACACACCAGUUUUUGCUCUAGAACACUGAACUACUUUCAUUUUCAGGAAAGCUUCUUUGUACACUCAAACUCACAUAUUCAUGCACACACUCACCUGUCCCUGUUCCUUAUAACUCCUACUCAUCCUAUAGUUCAGCUUAUAUAUAAUUUCCCAUAGGAAGCUUUCCCCAGUUGGCUAGAACUAAAGUAGGUACCCUUCUAUAUAUUUACUAUGCACACAACAUCUAUCAUAACUUAUAACAGCUCAUCCUACUGUAUAGAAUGUAUCAGUUUAUUUGCCAUCUUCCUUCUAGAAUAUAAUUUCUCAGAGGACAGGGACUACGUCUUAUAUACUAUUGAAUCCCAGAAACUUAGCACUAUCCCUGGUUUGUUAUAAAUGCUUGGUUUGUAUUGAAUAAUGGCUGGAUGGCUAAAUGCAUCCUUCACAGUAAAUGAUAUCCUUAGGAAAUUGUGGAUCUGUGCCUAUAUGUUAGCAAAACAAGGAGUUGAUUUUGAAUAACUUUGUAACACUAUAUAGGUUGCACAGGAAUUAUAAUGAUGCCCCAUUUUUUAAAUAAUUUCAGGUAUUGGCACUACACAUUAUUCUGAAUCUUUAUAGCUAAGCAUUCCACAGAUACGUUCCAACUCUAUAAAUGUCAAACAAUGGUGAUCACACCAUGCUGAGGCCCAUGAAGUUCACUUGCCAAGUAUUUUAAUCAAAUCAGGAACAGUAAGUGUGGAGUAAGAAAUUAGCCUGUAGUGUUGCAAAACUGGAUUAAAUAUGAAUGUUUAAUGAGAGCUGUUUUUUUCCCAUCUCUAUUCCUUUUUUUAAUGAAAUUAAAGACUAUCAGUAAUAUCAGCUAAAACUCUAGAAUUUUAGAGCUACGUCACUGCUUUAGAUUAAAAUACUUUGUGUCGAAACCAGUUCUUUCUCAUCACUUAGGGAGUAAUCAAAUUCUGAUAAAUAUAUUUUCUAAGAAAAGUUUAUGACCAACACUUCAAUAUGUUUGAAGCAGGAAAAAUAUAUUAACAACAACAACAAUAACAAAAAGCAUGAAAUGACACGUGUUGGAGUUGACAUUGACAAAAAUGAAAGAACAGGGAGGUGCCUAUGGCUCAAGGAGUAGGGCGUGGGCCCCAUAUACGGGGGGUGGUGGGUUUGAACCCAGCCCUGGCCAAAACUGCAAAAAAAAAAAAAAAAAAAAGAGAGAGAGAGAGAACAUAGUUCUUUACUGACGUUGUUUGACUACAAUGACCUGUAUUGCGUUAAGAGUGUUUUCAUUAACUUCUCAAGAAAAUGAUGGAUUUACAGUGAGUCAUUCACGGUAGCACACACAAAAAUUUAUUGAGAGCUAAACAGGGGUAUAUUCCUUGAAAUCACCAACAUAAGGCAAAUAAUAUAUUUGCUGAUUUUAUUUAGUGGCAAAGUCAGAUUUGGGUUUUGAAUAGUGAAGAAAAUAAUUGUGGAAAUUUGGCUCAAUCUUCAAUUUGCAGGAAAGGGUCUGAGCAUUAUUGCUAUUGCCAUGAAGGAGCUCAGGAAGUUGUACCCCAAAAUAUGACUCCUUGGUAUGAAGAGUAUUUUGAAUUAAAGGCCCUUAGAGAUCAACAAGCAUUGGAAGAGGCUUUCCUUCCUUCUACAUUAAAAAAAAAAAAAAAAACCUAUUCAAAAGAACAAUUUACUUCCAUUCUCUUCCACGUUACCUCAAUAAAUUACAAAGAAAAAGAUCAAGAACACAACCAGACUCGGGCCAGAUUAUUUUAUUUUUUAUAUUUUUUAAUUUUUAAGUCAUUUGUACAUAGAUCAUAAAUACAUUUAUGCCAUUAUGGGAUUCGAUGUAUUGAUUAUUUGUACUAAUUGGAGUGCUUACAUUCUACUAAUCAACAUAACUUUCUCCUCAUUUACCCAAUUAGAGCAUUAAGACAUUUGUGUUCUACACCUGAUAGCUCCAAAUUCUCAGGUUACUUUAAUUUCCAAAAGAAUCAUUUACGAAUCAAUGUGUUUUCCUCUCAUCCAUUUAUUCUCCUAAGUAUCUAUUCAUUCUCUCUAGUAACCACUUACUGCCUCUUAGCAGAAUUACUUAUAUUCCUCAUCCCCCAUCCCCUCCAAAAUGAGGGCACAUAAGCUUUUAGACCCCACCGGGAUAUUUAGUAAACACUCUGUGAUUCUCCCCAAGAACACAGUAAAUAAAUCUCUCUUAUUAAUCUGCCUUGUUAUGAGUUGAUCAUUCCAUGAACCUUCUGGGGCAAAGAGGAAGUUUCCCUUCUCUCUCAUAGUAGACAUAGCCAGAGACCUUUCCUUUGGGCAUAUUCCCUACAUUCAAGUAAGUUCCUAUAAAGUUAGACGUCCACUAGUAGAUCCUUUAAUAGGAAGAGCUAGAGCACUUUGGUUGCAGGGAAAGUUGCCUGCUCGGUAAUUUCCUGCUAUUAUCUUCACUAUAAUGUUUCUUAACUACCUAUUUGCUCUUAAUGACCUACUUAUGAAUAUAGUAACCCCAGAGAAUGGCCAAGGGAUAUAAAAAAAUCCCCUGGAUAUUGUAUUUUAAAAUGACCACUGACCCAGGAGAUGGAUUUGAGGUUAUUUUUCAAAAGCAUUGUCUCUAGACUGAUGAAUAAAGGACGAGAACCGUGAUGGUCACAAACCACUGAUGCACGUGGAAGGUGGCUCGCCAAGAAUUUGAAGAGAGUCAAGAAUCCAGCAAGUCUAAUCUCUGGAAAUUUAGAAGGAUUACAGAAGGAAAUGCAAAGUUAAAUCAAGAAGCUUAUUUUUUCCCUAAUCCCUAAACUUUAUUGUGCCUACAUUGGUAUAUCAAACAUAACAUGCUUAGCAGUUAGGCCACACAGCUGGUGACAUCUUUUUUCAAGUAAUUAAACUGGUUUUUUUGUUUUGUUUUGUUUUUAUUUUAAUGCCAUCUGGUAAAGAUUAAGGUCUGAAGGAAUGAUGAAAAGAGUUUGGGCCUGGGUUUAGAGCUAGACUAAGCUCUCAAUUUUGAUACUAAAUGAGUGGACUUAGUCACAAUGUUUUGUUUUUUUUUUCUUUUUUAUAUUUCUUAUCCUCAUCUAUUAAGUAGAAUGAAGUGGGCGCAUACAGCUCUAAAACUAUUUUAUCUUGUCAGUGGUUCAUUGAUUCAAGUAAAAGUGUUCCAAACAUUGGGCCAAUGGCUUUCUGGUUCCCAGAGAAGAUGUGUCGGAUCUCACAUGAUAGGGCGGGUAUGGGCAUGGUGGUCUGAAUCACAUGGCGUGGGCAUAGAUAGAACAUUGUGCUGAAUACGCUCAUCACUAUGUUUUCUGGACAACACAAAAUAAGAUGCCCUGUUCACACUAAUCGAAUAAAUCCAGAUUUGGGGUAAAUCGAAGGCCCUUGAGGGGAUGAAGAAAGCUGAUCCUCAUGGGAUAAACAGACUCCUUUCACAAUUCUGCUCUUCUUAGUACAAGAAUAGAACAUGGGAUUCAACAUCAGUUUGAUGAUUUACUAGAAGAUGGCAAUGGUACUAAUAGCGUCAUUUAUCUUUUUCCUUUUUGCAGUUUUUGGCCAGGGCUGGGCUUGAACCUGUCAACCCUGGGCCAGCGCCUUACUCUUUGAGCCACAGGCACUGCCCAAUAGCGUCAUUUACCAACUUUGAUGCGUCAAAAACUGUGCUAAGUCUUGUUUUUAAUUCAACCUGAAAAGAUGCUUAACCUAAUGAAAACAUGAAAAUGGGGCCCGGAGGAAUUUGGCAACUUGUCCAAGAUCACAGAGCUGAUGAUGCAAUACUGACAAUAAUAUUAUAAGCUUUGUGCUGUUCCUAUACAACGUUUUGCUUGCAUGUGAGGUCAAUUGGGGAGGAUCUGGAAAGGAUAAUGAACAAACAUGACUGCCACACCUAAUGGUGGAACUGAGUGUUUAAUGAGAGAAUUUUAAAGUUUAAUGUUAAGGCUUGUACCACAUAUCUUAGUAGUUAGGGCACCGGCCACAUACACUGGGGCUGGUGGUUCGAAGUCUGCCCAUGUCUGUUAAACAACAAUGGCAACUGCAAUAAAAAAAAAAUAGCCGGGCGUUGUGGCGGAUGCCUGUAGUCCCAGCUACUUGGGAGGCUGAGGCAAGAGAAUCACUUAAGCCCAAGAGUUUGAGGUUGCUGUGAGCUGUGACACCACAGCACUCUACUGAGGGUGACCUAGUGAGAUUGUCCCCCCCACAAAAAAAGUGUUUAGCCUUCACAAUGUGUAACUAUUGCUUUUUUAUAGUUUCAAAACGUUCUCAUCAUUCCAGAAAAAUACCCUGAUCUAUUAAGUAUUCACUUGCUUGUCCUUACUCCCCCAGUCCUCUGGCAACCACUAACGUGAUUUCAGUCUCCAUGGGUUUCCCUAUUCUAGAUACUUUACACAAAAGGAAAUCAUGUGAGAUGUGACCCUUUGUGUCUGUCUUCUUUGACUCAGCAUGUUUCCCAGGUUCACCCAAUACGGUAGCACGUACUUCAUUCCUUUCUAGGGCCAAAUAACACUCCAUUGUAGAGAUACACCACAAUUUGUUUAUUUUUUCAUCUAUCGAUGGACAUUUCUUUUUAGCACUUUAACAAGCCAAAGAUGUGUUUAUUCACUCAAAGAUUCUACUUACAGGCUCUAUGAUUUCCAGUUUCAAUGCAGAUUGGAUUCAUGACAUCUAACGUGCUUUUACCAUUUUAUCCUUCUUAAAAGUUGUAGAACUGAUGUUUCACUUCUACAGUAAGUUUUCCUGUCAUAUAUUUAAUUUAUUUCCAGUAUGACCAUUUUUUACAAUGUCAUUGCCAUGUAGAACCAUUGUUUGACCUUUACUUAUAAAUAUCUCUCAACUGACUUUUUGCUUGUUAUAUUCCACAAUAGAAUCUGUAUAUUUCUGGGUAAAUGCAUCUCUUUUGCUAGGCUAAAAGUGCCCCUCCCCUAGUGUCUACAUUCUACACCCUUAACCCAUGAAUCUACCUUAUGUGGAAAAAGGGACUUUGCAGAUGAGCUAAAUUUGAGAUUCUGAGAUGGAGAGAUUAUCUAAACUGUCUGCGUGGGACUAUGUAAUCACAAGUGCCGUAAGAGAGAGGCAGGAGACCAGAGGGGAUUUCAGGAGAUAUACAUAAAAACAGAACCCACAGGUCAGGAGCCAAGAAACUGCAGGAGAAAAGAAGAUAGAUUCUCUCCUGAAAUCUCCAGAAGAAACUCAGCCCUGUGGACACUUGAGUUCUAGAUUUCUGACCUUUACAACUAUUACAAGAAAAACGAUUUCUGUCACUUUAAGAUACUAAGAUUAUGGUAAUUUGUGGAAGAGCCACAAGAAAUGAAUAUACUCCACUCAAGUAGUUUUAUACCUUUUUAUAUAAUAAACGUUUAUAGCAACCAUAUUUAUUAACAUACAUAUUAUCAAUUGUAUACAUUGACUUGGUGAUACAUGGUGCCGCUCAACAAACCUUCUAAAUAAAAAUAAAGAGCUCAGUGAAGUUUGUCAUAAGGAACAGAACUGAUACUAGCAAAAUUUUGUCUGCUUUGGUAUGAAUAAACCUCUUAACAAUUAGAAAAAGAAAUAGUUUUCAAAUAUGUGGAAACAUAUUAGGGUUUUUGGAUUUCUUAAAGUUUAUAUGU
Molecule: long non-coding RNA, 12980 nt
Organism: Nycticebus coucang (slow loris)
Lineage: Eukaryota; Metazoa; Chordata; Mammalia; Primates; Lorisidae
Exons: 3
Source: RefSeq, a predicted model, not a curated record